AAUUCAGGAGUGUGUCCUGGCUCUGCAAGGGCAUCACCCAUGUGGGCUCACCGCUUGCCUCUGGGACUGAAGACAAUUUGGCCAGGAAGUGACCAGCAAUGGAAAAAGGGAAAUAAUCAGCACAUCUGCAUGUGUGCCCAUCUCAGAGACACAAACUGUGAAUAACAACUCACUUGGCUUCAUAACCAAGACCUACUCUGAGGAAUUGCAUCUCUUCCUUGGAGACCUUGAUUGGCCUGCUAGGUUAAAGGCAUUUCACUAAAUUCUUGGAGGAGUCUGAGAGAACUUGGGGGUGCUUGAGGAACCCAAAGGUGUGAAGUAAAAGCUGGAAACCAAGAUUGCUGGGAAAGUUCAGAGAAAGUAGAGAUUACUUCGUUUGUUGGAGAUCACAUGCAAGGGAGUCUACUCCGAGAUCAAAGGCAACCUAUAGCAAUUUAUGAGAAAUGAAGGAAGUGGGAGAGAUGCUAAGUUACUUUAAGGGAUGUUCUGAAAUCAUGAAUCUAGCUGGAAUAGCUGGUGUUGGCUGUGUCCAGAAGAGCUGGGACAAGUAUAGACAGGAUUUCCACAUGUCGCCCAGGCUGAUCUCAGACUCCUGACCUGGAUCUUCCCACCUCAGCCACUGAACGUGCUGGGAUUACAGCUUAAAUAGGUCUACUUGAAGUUCACAACUGCCAAAACCGCGUGUUCAGACUGAAAGGCUGGGAGCAUUUCAGACGCAUUUAUGAACUUCCACCAAGAUGAUCCGGCAGGCUGAAAUCGCAGGGAGAGCGUCUGUUCAACAAACCCUUUCUUCUUGAUUGAAUUAGUGUUACCCACUAACAGGAUGAGGAAUUCCCACUCCACAAGCUGACUUUUUUUCCUCUUUCCACCUCCCGCCUCCCUCCAUUAAAAUGUAAACUUGA
Molecule: long non-coding RNA, 902 nt
Organism: Homo sapiens (human)
Lineage: Eukaryota; Metazoa; Chordata; Mammalia; Primates; Hominidae
Product: long intergenic non-protein coding RNA 1517
Source: Ensembl